RNAcentral lists this long non-coding RNA (17652 nucleotides) under Vitis vinifera (wine grape). RNAcentral's name for it is "long non-coding RNA (VVIN_LNC005663)". Lineage: Eukaryota; Viridiplantae; Streptophyta; Magnoliopsida; Vitales; Vitaceae. The record is from RNAcentral.
CACCUCUCCAGCACUCGCCAUGUCCUUAACUGACUUCACUAACAACCCACCUCCUCCUUCCUCACUGAGGCAAAGGAAUUGAUUUUUGCACUGCUAAAAAGCUCCAAUGCACACAAUUUUCUCACAUGCCGCCAGUACGGACCAUACUCCGUAAAUGCAACGCCCUUAGCCCCGUAGCUCAGGUAUUCAAAGGCCUGGAGUUUUGGACGGCUAGCAAACACAACAUCAUGGGUUUUCAUGACUAGCUUGGCGGCUUCAGGCGACGACACUACGAUAGUUGGAACACACCCCAGUCGCAUAAACAUGAUAGGCCCAUACUUCUUGGCCAAGCGGCUAAGGUUACGGUGAGGCAGGCUCCCCAACAUGUGGAGGCUACCAAUAAUUGGUAAACCCCAAGGUCCCGGUGGCAGUUUCCGGUAGCCUGCCCGGAGUUUUAGGUGUGAUAAAGUGACCCACAUGGCUCCAAGGAUGACUAGGAGAAUAGCAACGGUGAAAAGAGCCAUUGGUACUGAUAAUGGGAAAGUAGAGUUUGAGAUAUGAGAAGUGAUGAUAGAAGGCUACCCAUAUAUAUAGAUAUUAUAUUGCCACACAUUAUUGUAGGGUGGAUAUAUAUGGUAUUGUGAUGGGACAAGGUUACCGAAAAACUUGGGAAGAAUACAAUGAAUAAAGCUCCAUCAACCAAUGUUUUGCAAAUGAACAUGUGUCGCGUUUCUCUGCUUUUGAUAGGACAGAACAUAGGAAAGUAACGUACAAAUAUGGACCACAUUAAAGAAGACAUUGAAAGUAAUCAUCAUAUUUACGAUCUUCAACACAUGGAAAUGAAACUAGUGUUUAUUACUUUUAAGUAUUAAAUUAUUUUUUUUUUUUUACUUUUAUUAAGUACUUAAAAAAAUCACAAAUAGUUUAUUCGUAUUAUUAUAUAUUUUUUAUUUUAUUUUACUUAUGUUGUAGAAUUUUCACAAAAUUUGAACGUACAAAUUUCUGACAAGUACUCAAUCAACGGUUGUCGUCAAUUUCUGGCAAGUACUCAAUCAACGGUUGUCGUCAAUCUUUGUGAUAAAAAAAAAUAGUUUUAUCAUUUUCUAAAUUAUGAUCAAAGUGAAAAAAAUAAAUCAAUAAAUAAAAAAUAAAAUAAAUAUAUAUAAUUCUAUGCCUACUUAGGAUAGGAAAAGAAAAAUAUUAAGUUUUGGAUUUGGUUUGAACUCUUCAAACAAGAGGAUUAUCCAGAUUAUCCUUAUAAGCGUGUUAAUAACACUAAGAGCACUGAUAAAAUUAAGUCCUUUGAAUUUUCUAAGGAAUUCCAGGAAAAUCCCCAAAUCAACCAGGCUUUUGUUGAUAGGAUUAAUCAGAAGAUUAAGGAUAAUCUUGUUGCCCCUUUGACUGUUCAGCCUCAUAAGAGAAUCAAUAUGGUUAAAGGUGAUAUUAGUUCAGAAGAAGAAGCUGAUGAACUAAUUAAAAUGUUUGAGGAACCCCAUAAUCAAAUAAUCAUGGCAUAAUUCCUGUUUUCAUUGCAUAUGACCUUGUCCUGGGUGUCUAUGGUAUCAGAGCCAUCGGGAAGGGAAGUUGGAUUUGUUUUGGGUGUUUUGGCCUAUCCUAGGAUAGGUAGCAGUGUGCCUAGGAGCGCGAGCCUUGCCGGUUGAGCCGUUGUUAGCCGUGGAUAGGCGUUUGUUAGGUUGUAAGAGGGUUGGGGUGACGUCUCAUAAGGUUUGUCAAUCUGCUAUUAGGCUCUAGAUCAAAACCCUAAAAUGAGUUCAAUUUUCAGAACCAUGUCUAGGAGAUCUAGUGAUUCUCAAGAUACUGUUGUAAACAGUGAAGAGAUCAAUUAUCCUAAGAUCCAAAAUGAUUUAGAUGAUUGGAAGUUACCCAAGGUGUUUAAUCAAGAAAUUUAUAAGAAAUGAACCUUUAAGUUCUUCACAGAUUAUACCAUCAAGACCUCUGAAAUGUCAGUCAGCUUAGAACAAGACGACCAAGUCAUAAGACUUCUAGAUAACAGAUCCAUUGAAAAGCAUAAGAGAAAUGGCUAUAAUUUCAUACACUUUGGUAUGAUUCAAGUAGCAGCUAAACCCUUGACAAGAUUAGGUUUAAACACCUCUAUUGUCAUGUGUUUAAGGGAUAAUAGGCAUCUCGAAUAUUGAGAUUCUAUUAUAGGCGCAGUCCAAGCUGGACUGAAUGAUGACCCAGUUUAUUUCCAGUGCUAUCCUAACUUCACAGUUAGAAUAAGAGAUGCAGACAUCUUAGAUUUCGUUGUCCUACAUAUUAAGACCCAUGGCUUUAAGAUCAAACCAGGAAACAGUCCUGUUUCAAUCAUAACCAGGUUUGCCUAUAAGAGCAUGAACACAAGCGUUGGAUCUGGGGCUCUUUGCACCAGUCCUAAGGGUGAGACCACUUACUUUCACUCAGAUAUGCUAGAUAAGUCAGAUUUCAUCAUCCCCAAGAAGAUCUUGUGGAAAGAUGUUGAGUUUCCUGAAAAUUGGCAUUUUGCUAAUGCUGUUCCAGCCAUUGCACAUCGAUCUGAAAGUAUUGAACAAAUUGUUCAAUAUCCUGAUGGAGGAGGAGAACUAGUUUUCUCCAACUCUUUCAGACAUUCUAGCAGCCCUAGAGUUUCUGUUUAUGAACCCUCUAGAGCUUCAAGCUCUUCCAUCCCAGUUAGAACCACUAGGGAAGAAGAAGGUUCCAACUCAGGAAAUCUUAAGAAUAUUAAGCUAACAGGUGUUAGAAGUCACACCAAUGUGACUAGACCAUUUUACCUGAGGAAAAUGAGUCUACUCAGGAAUCCCAACAGGAUGAGUCCCCUAUAAUGUCUCCUACCUAUUCCCAGAUGAUUAACAUAAUAAGCCUAAGUGAUGAGGACUUUGAGAUCAACAAGGAUCUCUUAAGAAAAGACUUCUAUUCUGAUGACAAUAAGCAAAGAAAUGAUUGGUUCUUUAGCACUAUCCCUAAAGUCAUUAGAGCCAUUCACCAAGAAGAAUUCUAUGCCUACUUAGGACAGGAAACGAAAAAUAUUAAGUUUUGGAUUUGGUUUGAACUCUUCAAACAAGAGGAUUAUCCAGAUUAUCCUUAUAAGCGUGUUAAUAACACUAAGAGCACUGAUAAAAUUAAGUCCUUUGAAUUUUCUAAGGAAUUCCAGGGAAAUCCUCAAAUCAACCAGGCUUUUGUUGAUAGGAUUAAUCAGAAGAUUAAGGAUAAUCUUGUUGCCCCUUUGACUGUUCAGCCUCAUAAGAGAAUCAGUUCAUGAUAAGCUUAAAACCGGCCAUGAUAGGCGGUACAAGAAUAAAAAACAUAAAAUUAAAAUCAAAGCUUAAUUAAAACCAUCCAUGUAGGAGGUACAAGAACAUAAAAUGAAAUGAAAACAAAACUUAAAAAAAACCAUCCAUAUAGGAGGUAAUCAAAACAUAUUUAUAUUAUACAUAAGGAGAAAUAUCUUACAAUGGACAAGGGUAGGAAAGCUUAGAGAAAGCUUGAAAGCUUGAAGGGCUUACAUGAUGAGAGAGAAAGAAGAGAGAAGGGAGAGCAUAAACUUGGGAGAGGUUUCAGAUCUAAAAUUAUGAGUGCUUACAAAUGGAGAUCAAGUCUCCUUAAAUAGGCAAAAAGAUGAAUAGUAACCUCGUGCAUGAAUAGUGAAUAGUGAAUAGUAAAAUUCAUUUUUCCACCGAAUUCCACCGAAAAAACCUAUUUUCGGUUGAGAAGACUUCUGACAGGAUUCUUUAGACUGUGUAGUCACAUGCUUGCUGCUUUUGGUGCAGAAACUGUAAAGCUUGUAAAAUAUUCUUGAUGGAAGACAUAAGGCUGAUGAUUACUUAGAUCUUCUUAUUGGAGGAAGGAUUCCUUCAUAGUCAUCACCAUUGUCUGGAAGGUAGCUUGUUGAAUCAUCAGACUCUGCAUAAGAAUUUUCUUGGGAGAAGCUUGAGUUUCCUUCUUCAAGGAUUUUCUGGAAAUCUUGAGGGGUCUUAGCUGCUGCGAGCAUGGCUUGUAACUGUUGCUUUUUGAGGAGAAAUUGAGACAUAUCAUCACUGACUGAGACUUGUGUGGGGUUCUUGAGGAAAUACUGUUUGACUGCAUCAAUAGAUGCAUCAUUUUUCAAGGCAUCCCACCAUUUAGUUUUAAAAGUCCUUCCCAGAGAUGGAAAGGCUGCUGAUUCGUUUUAAUGAUAAUAUAGUCCCACUGGACUAUCCAAGCAAGGCCAAAUUUGCUGAAAAAGAAUAGUAAAGGGGGAAAAGCUGAAAGUUCUCUAGGGAUAUCAAAAGAACUUCUGAAUAGCUCAAAGCCAUCUAGGAUGGGCUUAGGAAGAAUCUUAAUAGUCGAACCAUAAUAAGUCCACCAACUGUAGAACCAAAAUAGGAAAGAGGAAAGCUGAUUCUUAGAUGGAAAAUAGAACAUCCAUGAAUGAUGGAAGUCCCUAUUCUGGAUCAGAAAAGCAUUAAACCAUGCUCUCUGAUAAUCCCAAUAAUUAAAAAACCUUGGCUUUGAUGGUUCAAAAAAUUCCCUUGAAAGAUUAGGAUUUCCACCCCAUUGCUUGACAGUAAGAAUCUUAUAGAUAUGGCAGGUGGAGAAUGCCAAACCCAUAUUGCUGAAUUUGUCAGCAUUAUGCUUAAUUUUAACAUAACCAGUUUCUGUAAGGACUGCUUCAUCAAACUCUCUUGUUUUUAAAAUAUCACCAGAGGGAUAAUGAAAAUUUUCUUGAAAAGCUUUUGCAGUAAUUUCUCUGGGGUUUUCAGAGAAAAAUUCUCUUUCAAUAACCAAAAGAGGUUGAUUUAAAUCAUUUUGCCAAUAUCUUGAUUUUGUUGAAAGAGGUGUGGGGUUGGCAGCCACCACAAUUUGCUUGUUUGAAAAAGAAGAGCUUGAUGCUAAUUCCUUUUGAGAGGGAUUAACCUUAGUGACUUGCUUGAAGGUCUGGGACCCUGAAAUGGCUGGGUACUGGGUGGCCUUGACUGGAUUAGCUGGAUCAGAAUGAUCAUAGUACAGGGUCAUCAUCUUGUUAGGCAUAGGGUUAGAAGAAUGAAGCCUUGCUUCUUCUUCCUCAACUUGUUGGCUCCAUAGCAUUUUAUGGGGAAAAGGAGCUUGACUGGGUUGGGUUUUCUGGUUAGGAGCUUGGGUAUUCUUUUUAGGGGCCAUGGUCUCGUGAACCCUGCAAAUUCCAUGAGUUGAGUGAUUAGGAAUGGAAUUUUCUCCUUUAAUAAACUUAAUUUGAAAAUUAGGGUUUAAAAUAAUCCAAUCAGUUAAAUUAUACUUAAAAGUUAUAUACUUAAUUGUUUUCUUAGCUGUGAAAACAACUUUUAAAAUUCCUUGGUUCAAAAUAUCAGUUUGAAAUUUUGAAAUGCAUAAAGGAAUGCUUAAAAUAUCAUUUAUAAUGAGAUUAUGAAUGAAUUGGGUACCUAAUAUCUUAGGUGGAUCAUCUAUUCUAACAAGAUUAAUUUCUUGAUCACAAAGAGUGAUGUUUUCACCAGGAUUAGCAAAUUCAAAAAGAAUUUCCUUAUCAAAAAGCUUUGUUCUUAUACCUUGGUUAUCUACCCACAAGAGAUAAAUAAAGCUUAAGAAGGGUAUUCCUAGAAGGGCUUUUUCCUUAAGAUCCUUAACAAGGAUAAAGGUUUGCUUAAUACAGAUGUCAUGAUUACGGAUAUAAACAUCUGUUAAUUUAUACUUAAUAGCAAGUCUUUUGUCAUUGGCUCCAAAUAGAGACUGACUAGUCUCUUCACAUAAAGGAAUAGGUACAAGACCUUCUUGAAGGCAAUUUUCAGCUGCUCUUGAAUCAAUCAAAGCAAUAAUAUCAAGGACAAAUUUAUCUUUGACUACUAUAGUAAGGAAGACUUCCCACCUCUGGAAGAUAACCCUACUCACAGUAUUCAAAAAAGUAUCUGUCUCAUUAUCAUUAACAUGAGAAGAUUCUGAAAUAUCCAUAUGGUUUCUUUGGUUGACAAUUCUAUUGAUUUGUUCUUGGAUAUCAGAAAGACCUAAACCUAUGAAUUGUCUUAAUUCCUUUAUCUCAUUUUUAUACUGCCUAACUUCAUCAUGAAGUUCCUUAAUGUUAAUUUCCUUUGGAGACUGUUGGUCAAACCUAUUUAAGAUAUCAUUAAGGUUAUAAGGAUUUACAGUCUUCUUGGCUUCUACCUUAACAACAGAUUUCUUAAAAACUUCAUAAAGAUUUUGCUUAGUCUUUUCAUCUUCAACUUUUCUUAAAGUAUCAAGGAUAAACUCCUGAUCUUGGCUUAUGAAAUUUAUAGUUUUAGGACGGCAAUUACAAUUACCUUUAAUACAUUCUGCUUGGUCACUAGAAGAUUGGCUAGAAACUCCACCACUACUGUCUAGUUGAUUAAUGUCAUCUUCAUUAUCUGAAUCAGUCCUUGAUUCAGAAUCUAUGGAGUUUAACAUUACCUUACAAAGCAUAUUUUUUAGGUUAUCUGAGACACUUAAGUUAUUAAUCUUUUGCUUAACUCUACAAUCUUUUUUAUAAUGGCUAACUUUGCCACAUUUAAAACAGAUAAUUGGCUUGACAUCUAAAGGAGUUUCUACCUUUUUCUGGGUAUCUUUGUUGACCCUUCUUUGGAAGUGUCUUGACUGCUUAGUAUUAUUCAUCCUAUAGUUGUCAUGGGUACCUCUCUUACUGUGGUAAAACUUAUCUUUGCUAGGCUUCCUACUUGGUUUUUGCUUAGAGGGAGGCAUAGUUUCUUUUUGGCUGAAACCAAACUGGCUACAGAAUGAUCCAAAUUCAUUCUUGUAGAUUUUUUGUUCAUUCUUCAUUUGUUGCUUAAGCUUGAAGUCAUUGCACAACUUAAUCCCUUCAGCUGUGACAAUGCUUAUAAUCUCACCAUACGUUAGCUUAUCAUAAGGGAUUUGACCAUUAUACUGUUCCCUUAUCUUGAUCCUAAUUCUCUCAGAGAAAAGCUUGGGUAAUCCUGAGAUGAAUUUUUCUUUCCAAAAAGACUGGUUACAAUCUGAUCUUAGCAUUACUUUGGUUAGGAAGACUUCCUUAUACCACCUAAAAUCAUGAAGUUUGGGACACUUAAGGUUGGUAAAGAGAUCUACAGUUUUAUCCUUAAUUUUUGCAGGAUCUCCAAUGAAGUGUUUGGAUAUUGAGUAGAUUAGAGUAGCCACUACAUCCUCUAUAUCUUAGUCAUCUUCGUCCUUAACAACUUCACUAUUCUCAUUAAUCCUAUAGGCUUUAAGGAUACUAUUUCUAUCAUCAAAAGUGAGAUAAUUAUCCCACCAACCCUUAAGUUGACCUGUAAACCCAGCAACAAUGGUCUGAGCUACAGCAUGAUCUGACAGUCUAUUGUUUAAUUUAUAGGCGGUACUUACCGUGGUCAUUUCUUGAAGCUUAGUGAGUAUAUUAUACUCGAUCAUACCGUCUAUGUUCCAUUCAUAGAUAGUACCACUGGUGUAUGAGGCUUGAGUAUACUGAUUUUUUUCCUCAAACUGCAUGUCAGGAAAUGUAGGUCUAGGAUAGUAAUUCCUAGUCUUAAAGGUUUCUAAAUUGUUAAUAUCUUUUGAAAUGGGUUCCUCAAACAUUUUAAUUAGUUCAUGAUAAGCAGUAUAUAUAUAUAUAUAUAUAUAUAUUCUUUUGUAAAAAAAAAUAUUAUCAUAAAGAUUGCAUCCCAUAACUUAUCAAUUUUAAUAAAAAUAUUUUAUUCGCAUUAUUUUAUAUGGUAGGACUUUCAUGAAAUUUAUACGUACAAAUUUUAAAAAGUAAUCAAUCAAUAGUUGUCGUUAAUCUUCAAUGUUGAUAGUGAGCAUCGAUGUAAUAUUCAAUAAUUAUCGCUAAUCUUUAAUGUUGAAUGUGAGUACAUACGUAACAUUCACCUCUUCUUGUUAUAAUAUUAGCAAUGGCGAUGCUACCCACCUAUAACAAAAGGGGAAGUGUACAGUCUUAUCCUUAAAUAAACAACACCAAAGAAUGAAGCUCUUCAACCGCAUAAUAUACUAAAAUUUACAUUUUGAAAAUGAAAUAAUCGUAUUUUGUGGACUAGGUGACACAUCCCAUUAAGGAGAUAGGAGAAAUCGGAAAUUAUAAAGAGAGUAUAGGUAUUUUUCAAAAAGAUUUUUUUCAAUAAAGAGAAAAAGUAUAAUUAGAAAUAAUUUUAAAAUUAUCAUAAUUAAGUAAUAAUUUUUUUUAUAAAAAAAACAAAUGCAUUUUUGUCAGAAUCGAAGGAAAAUGGGGUAAGAAAUUAAUAGCUUCGCCAAGGAGAGAAGAAAGAGGACGCAAUCAAAAGAGGCAUCCAAUGGAAGCUCCACGUGUGACGUGAUUACAUGACGGUACUGCCCUCUCCUCUACCACAUGCUUUUGUCCCGCUGUAGAUGCAGUCUGAUCGAUGGGGUAAAGAUAAAUGAAGGCUAGACUUCAUGUGACGAUUAUUUGGAAUAGCUUCUUUAACAACGAAUGGUCAUUUUCACCCUUUCAAGGGUUUUUCUGUGGAAUCCUUCCAGAGAAGCGACAACCACCACAAUUUUUUUUUUUUGGUUAUCUAUUUUUUUUAAAACAAAAAUAAUUAAUAUGUGACAACCGAUCAUACCAUAUAAUUUUUUCUUUCUCCUCCGUAAUACCUCCACCUUUUUGUUUUUUUAAUGUAUUGGUUUCAUGAGAUUUUUUUAAUUUUAAUUCUUUUUUUUUAUCUUUUUAUAUUUAUCGAUUUUAAUUAUUUAUAAAUAUUUUAAAUAUAUAAUAAAUAAUUAAUGAUAACAUAUUUAAUAUAAAAAUAAAUACAUAAUGAACAAAUCUAAAAAUUUCAAAUAAGAUUUUCUAUAUUCCUACUAAAAAAUAUUUGUUUAUUUUAUAAAUCUUAUUGCCUUAUCAUAUUAUUUUAUUGUUUGUAUUUUUUAAGAAUUUUAAAUUUUCAUAUAAAAAUGAGAGUUGAUGAUUAUAGUUUUAGCAUUUUACUUAUGGAUUUAAUUUAACCACGGUUUUAUUUUAUUUUAUUUAAUUAAAAUGUUUAAUAUGUUUAAUUAAAGAAAUAAAUACUUGGUUGUGGUUUUAACAUCUUGGUUGUGGAGUAAAUACUUUGUAUGUCCUUUCAAAGUUGCCCUAAGUACCCUCAACAAGAGAGAGAGAGAGAGAGAGAGAUGUAAUGGUAGUUUAUUUGAACAUAAAACACAUGCAUAAGUACCCUCAACAGACAAUGUACCUAAAGUUGAGGGGGGAAAAAUCACAGGAUAAAUGACUUAAAUUCUCCUUUCUAAAUUAUCUAGGAUUAAAAAUGAUUCAAUGGUUUUUCAAGCCACUUGAUUUUUGCAUAGUUUUAGUUGGUUCUAGGAUAAAGCUAGAUCAUCUUUAUGCGGCCGUAAUAACUUUGAACAUACUUUCUAGGCCAACAUCAAAUUCAAAACGUAUGAAAUCUUAAUCUUAUUUCCUAAUCCAACAUUUAUCUCUACGUACUAACAUCAAAUCUCAAACAUAUCAACUUUUGGACCCUACUGCAAACGUGACUCAUGUUCUGUUUUUUUUUUUGGUUUUUUGGACAGGUACAAAUGGCUACUCAUGGCUAGCAUUGCCUGAAGCGUCUCCAUCAUAUCAUCUACAUAUUUGAUUUAUUGGAGGAUGUCUAGCCGGCAAUGGGAUCCACCCUAUUCUUUCGUGACCAGGUUGCAUAUACCACUACAAGAUCCCACACCUCUCUUCUUGUUACACAAUGUAAUGCAGUAACAGUACCACUAUGACCUCUAAGCAUGCGAACACUGGUCUGAAUUUUCUUUUGACCAAAAGAGGAUAGAUCUUGUUUGUGAGGAGUUCCAUUCUCAUUUGCAGCUAAACAAGAGAGAGAGAGAGAGUGUGUGAGAGAUGUAAUGGUAGUUUAUUUGAACAUAAAACACAUUCAUAAGUACCCUCAACAGACAAUGUACCUAAAGUUGAGGGGAUAAAAAAACCACAGGAUAAAUGACCUAAAUUCUCCUUUCUAAAUAGUCUAGGAUUAAAAAGUUGGUUCAAAGUUUCAACAAGUAUUAGUUCUAGAAAAAAUUAUAAUAAUUUGGUUUUUUGAAAUUAUUAUAAUAAUUUGGUUUAGGUUUCUCCCUUCACACAACCCCCCCUCCGCCUAACCAUCCAAUACUACCAUUUUUAUGGAUCAUUGUCUGUGUUUCUUCUCCCAUUGUCCUACAUCUUAUGUGGCAACCCUUAUCUUGGGUUAACCCUAAUCCUACCAUUGCCAUGUCAUGUCCAACGUGGCCGAGCCGCCACCGGGAUUUUCAGGUUUCUGGCAGCCCAGACAUGUAGUGACAUUUGGGGCCUCUCUUGUGGGUCUUGAUCAAGAAUAUUGGAUAAAGGUCGUGUAGGAAAUGAGCACCGGCACCUAGUCAUCAGAGGAUAAGAGCUUUGGAUAUUAAAUUGAGGUUUUUGAAUGGAACAGUAAGGAGAAGACUAGUAGCUGAACGUAUGUGUGAUGAUGAUGAAAAAUGGAUUUUUCUUAAAGACAGAAAUUGAAAAAUGGAUUUUUUUUUUUUUUUUGGGAACUAAAGAAUUUUAGUAAUUGUAAGCUUAAAUUGUUAGGAUCCGAACCUAUGACUUGUAUCGACUAAUGGUGGGAAGUAAUUAGAGACAAGAAAUAGUUAACAACGUGAGAAAAGAAAAAACUAAGAAAAGUUAAAAAUAAAAUUUGUAUUCCUAUAAACAACCCAUAGCUAUUAAUCAAAAUUAGUACCAAACAAGACUUUACUUUGAAGGGAAAUGGGAAUGAAUCCAUUUCCCAUCUUUUGUCAUUUUCAUUCAUUUUUUCUUUACCCACCAAUAACCAACUUCCAAAUUAGGCACUUGAUUCCCAACCAUCACUACCAUCAAACGAUGUAUUCACGUCGAGGUUUAGGUUUAAUUUGGUUUUGUUUGUCCCUUUUCCUUUGGUUUUUUUUUGUUUUUUUCUUAAGUUUCAGAUGGAAAUCAUAAAUCAAAAUGAUUCAAUGGUUUUUCAAGCCACUUGAUUUUUGCAUAGUUUUAGUUGGUUCUAGAUCAUCUUUAUGCGGCCGUAAUAACUUUGAACAUACUUUCUAGGCCAACAUCAAAUUCAAAACAUAUGGAAUCUUUAUCUUACUUCUUAAUCCAUCAUUUAUCUCUACGUACUAACAUCAAAUCUCAAACAUAUCAACUCUUGGACCCUAUUGCAAACGUGAAUCAUGUUUUGUUCUUUUUUUUUGGUUUUUUGGACAUGUACAAAUGGCUACUCAUGGCCAGCAUUGCCUGAAGCGUCUCAAUCAUAUCAUCUACAUAUUUGAUUUAUUGGAGGAUGCCUAGCCGGCAAUGGGAUCCACCCUAUUCUUUCGUGACCAGGUUGCAUGUACCACUACAAACGGAUGAUGAUAAGGAAAAAGGUGGGCAGAUCUACAUACAAAGUAGAAAACGGGUUGAUCAUUUUAUAUCAGGAAUUUAUAUAUAUAUAUAUAUAUAUAUAUGUAGUUUUAUGAUUUUUUUAUAAAAUAUUUACAAAAAUUAAUAAUUGUAAAAGUAUUUUCAAUUAUAUGACAAAUAUUUUGAUCUAUGUCAUGAUUGAAACAUUAUUUUUUUUAUGAUAAUUUAUAUGGUAUUAAAUAGAAAAUAGUCUCUUACGUAGAUGAUUUAAUUAUACAUUUAUGUAUUUAAGUUAAAAUAUUUGUCUAAAAGAUGGCUUAAUGAUUGAAAAGUGUUGCAUCUAUUUUAAAAAUUAUUAUAUUUUAUAAAUUAAUUUCUAAAACCUAAAUUAAUUUAAUUAUUCAAUUUUGAAUUACAAUAUAUGUAUAAGAUAAAUUUAAAUUUAAAUUUUACGCCCCUUUAUAAUUUUAUUUAAUUUUUUAAUUAUAAUCAUAAUAUUUAGUGGGUGUUUGAUAAAUCAAUUUAAUAACUUAAAAGUGAUUUAAUAACUUAAUUUAAACCAUUAUAUAUAUUAAGUAUGUUUGAUAAACUAACUUAAUGAUGUAACUCAAAGUUAUUUUUUUUGAAGUAAAAAAUAAUUAACUUGUUUUUAAGUUAACAUCUUCAUUUUUAUUUUUUAUUUUUUAUUUUUUAUUUUUUAUCUUUACUUGUUCUAAUUAUCUUAACGAUCUCCUUUACUACUUUAUGACCUCCUCUAUUCAUUUGUCUUAAUUAUAAUUUAUGAAAAUAAGCAUAUCAAUUUAAUAAUUUAAAAUAAAAUUUAAGUUAAUUUUAUCAAACAAUCUAAAUACUUAAAGUAAAAAUUAAAUAAUAAGUUUUAAAUCAAUCACUUUAGUAGAAUUGAGUAUUAAAGUUAUUAAAUAAUGAGUAUUAAAUUUUACCAAAUAGCCUUUAGAGGCUAUCAAUAAUUAGUAACCCUACGGAUCGGGUGCUAGUUUCCAAUAGCAUGUGCUAUGUUUGAGCUGUUAUAAGAUGGUCCAAAAAAAGCCGCAAGAACUUUAGGAUAGGAAUAAGUGAUAGUAGAAGGCCACCAUAUGCAUAGUGCCAUAUGAUUGUGAAAUAGGCAUGUAACACAUGUUGAAUGAAUUAUUCUUGUUUUAACUUUUUGAAAAUGAUAGCAUAUUUACAAGUGUGCGAGAUUCAAUGAAUUCAAUUGUGAAUAUUAAAAUCUACUCGAAGUAGUUUAAUCAAUUUGGAUGCAACAAAAACUAAAUACCUAAUUUUUUUAAUAAAAUAAUUUUUUAAAUUAAAAAUAUUUUCUAAAAUUACUUUUGGAUUCCUAAACUCUUAAUUUUAAACGUGCUUUUUUGUUCAACACCAAAUCUGAACCGUAUGGAAUCCCAGACCUCCUUCUUGAUCAAAUGCCAAAUUCCGAGUCAAUACAAACUUGGACAUGUUGCCGUAAAAAACAGAAAAUUUCAAACAUGGCAUCUCUCCGACCCGACGUUUGGAGCCCUCAUUUUCAAAUAAGCCGGAGCUGUAAUCAUUGUCAACGGAAAAAACAAUUUGGCUUCUUGAGGGUUGAGACACAAAUGAGUCAUGACUGGCAUUGGAUGAAUCAUCUCAAUAAAUGAUAUAUAUCACAUAUUUGAUUUUAUUGGAGGGUGGGAUGCCACCCGUCCUUUGCUGACCCUGUUGUAUGUGCCACUAGAAUAGAUAAACGUCUGCAGACAAGGGAGAAAAUAGUGUCAAAUGGACCCAGACCUCUUAUUAGCCACACGUUAGGAAUUUUUUUAAUAUAAAUGUGUAGUUUUAUGAAAUUUUUAAAAACUAUGUACAAAAAUUUGAUAAUUAUUGAAGUAUUUUGAAUUAUAUGAUAAGCAUUUUCAAUCAUUUCAUGCUUGAAACAUUAUUUUUAGAUUUAUGAUAAUAUGUGAGAUAUUGGUAGAAAGUUAUCUAUUAAAUAGAUCGUUUAAAUAUAAAUUUAUGUAUUUAAAUUUGAAAUGGUCUUUUAAAUUUUUUUCUUUUAAAAUUUGUAUUUUUAUCAAAAACCUCUAUUUUUAUUUUAUUUUUUGAAAGUAUACAAUAAAAGGUUAUAAAAGAGUUGGAAAGACGUAUUUUGUUUAUCUCUACCUUAUUCAUAAAAGAGAUGGUUUUUCGAUUCUUUAAUACCUAAAAUGAGUAUGGAGAAGCCAAAAUUAUUUAUGAAUAAUUGAAGUUACUCUUUAUUAAACUUCUCUAUAAUUUACAAUUUUUCCAAUAAGAAAAUCAAUGAUCUUUCAAGACAUGGUUAGAGGCGUUUAUAGCAUGUUUGUAAGCUCUUAUAACAAACUUUUCUCACUUUUUAGUCUUAUUACGUAUGAUGUCAAAGAUAAUUAACUUCUUCUUUUUUAACGUCAGGUAGCUACGAGAAGUGGUUAAUUCUAGAGGUCAUCUCUUGUGAAGGACCUUACUCAUAGAAGGGGUGAUUUUUAGUAUCUUUAAGGUUGUGUGUCAUUUAACUAUAAAAACUCUUCAAAAACUUCCAACUUUAAAACAGACUCGUGUUGUUCGUUAAAGAUUAGAUAUUUUAGUUAAAUUGGGUCAUCAGUACUACUACCUCUUUUUUUGAAAUAGCCUUGAAGUUGGAUGGUUAAAGGGUAAUGCUAAUUUGGGAGUGUUUUUGUUUUUUUAUUUGUUUCAGUCAGUGAUGAAUUGACUAUAUUUAAUUUUUUUUAACUUUUCUUUUAAUUGUUUAAAUUAAUGAGAGAAUUUAUUAUUGUUUUCUUCUACCGUUACUUUUGGUUUAGAGAUAUAAAUUUUCCUUAAAUUUAUUUGAAAAUUAUAUCAUGUCAUUUUCAAUUUAUUAUUUCUUUUCAUACUAUCAUUAUUUUUAGUUUUAGUAAAUAAAAUUAUUUUUUUUAAAUAAAUAAAUAAAUAAGCCUCAAGUGGGUCUCGAACGUAUGAUUUGGAUGUUUUGUUUGCUCCUUGGACUCAUGUGUGGGGUGACAAUGGAUUUUGUCCAUGGGGUUGAUAUUGUACUGACAUAAGAAAUAUUAACAUGAACAUUAGUCAUUUAAUAAUCAUGACAAAAUAUAUGUAACAUGACUCAUUUAUUACAACAUACUAUUUAACUGAUUUAAUAAAUAUGUUAGGUUGAUGCGCACAGGCCUCCUUUUGUGGCUGCUCGAGGCUUGAGCCCGUAAACCAUUUGUAUAAAUCUUGUUCCUUUCUUUUGCAAGGAAAAGAAGACUCCCAAAAAAAAUAGAGAAAGCCUAAAUGCCCAAGAAAUAUUUUAAUAGAAGAAAUAAGUCUUAUAUAAUUUUGCACUGCCACUUAUUAAAACUAGUACUUCAAACUCUUUAUGAAAUAUGUCAUACAUGCACGUGCUAACAUUUUGAACACCAUCCCAUUACAAAGCCCCUUAUACAAAAUACAAUAUAAAGGUAGGAAUUUUAAGCAAGUAAUCGAUAAGUUGGCGUGGCUAACAGGUGAUCAACCCUCGGCAUUGUCAAACCAAAUUUCUCUUUCAUGUUCAAUUCACUUGGUGGUGUGUCAUUUGGUAACUUCCAAUUAAAACAAUGCACCAAUUGAGAUACUACGAGUUGAACAGUUAUUAGACCCAAUUGAAUUCCAGGGCACCCUCGACGACCUGAUCCAAAUGGAGUAAGUUCAAAAUCAUGCCCUUGAAGGUCAAUAUUGUUUUCAACGAACCUCUCAGGAAAGAAUUCUUCAACAUUGUUAGACCAAACAUUAGGGUCUCUUCCAAUUGUCCACGUAUUUAUCAGAAUUCUUGACUUCUUAGGUAUGUAAUGUCCAUUAAUUACAAUAUCUUCUAUAGACUCACGUGGAACUAGAAAUGGUCCAAUAGGAUGCAGCCUUAAGGUUUCUUUCACCACCAUAUUCAAGUAGCCCAAAUUUUCCAAGUCAGAUUCUUCCACCAUUCGACACAUGCCAACUACAUUCUUUAACUCUUCUUGAAGUCGUCUCAUCACCCUUGGAUGCCUUAGUAGUUCGGAGAUAACCCACUCAAUUGAAGUAAUUGAAGAAUCAAUUCCACCCACAAGUAUAUCUAAGAUGAUUGCUUUGGCAUUCUGUCGAUCAAUAGCAUAUAACGGAUCAUCCUCAAAAUUGUUUGAUUUAUUCAUUAGUGAUAGCACGACAUCAAUGAAAUUCAUAUGAUUUACUUCAUCUUUGCUAACAUCUUGUAUAUGCUUGUCAAUGAUCUUAUCCAAGACUUCAUCUAUGGCCUCAUUAUUUGUGCGAAGGAGUUGAGUCAAUCCCUGAAAAUGAAAAAUGCUUACAAAUGAUGAGUUUAUUGGAUCAUUUCAAUUAUUGAAAGUAAAAGUUAGAUUCAAAUCAAUUGCUUGAUAAAUGUUUUCUUAGAAGCUAGCUAACACGCUAAUAUAUAUUGCAUAUUCUCUUAUACAAAACAUUUAUUAGGAUAAAUUUAUAGAAAUUCCAUGAAGCAUUCAAAAGCAAACAAAAAGAAAAAAGAAAAAGCAAGCUAAUACUCCAGAAGAAAAUUAGUAUUAUUUGAAAAUUAUUAAAGAAUUAAUGUGUUUAUAAUUUAGUAACUUUUAAUUAUUUAUUUCAUUAAUAAUAUUUAUUAUUAAUAUAUUUAAAAUUUAUAAAUGCAAAAUAUUAUAUUAUUUUAUUAAAUAUAUAAAAAUAUUUUGUAUAUAUUAAAUAAUAAAUAUAUUAGUAUUUUUUUUUUCUUUUUGCAUUUAACAAAUUAUAUUUUUUUUCAUUUUGAAAAAUGAGUAAUACAAAAAAAUUAAAAACGUUUUUGUUCAAGCUUCACUCGUUGUCUACAAAUGGAGGCUUCACUACCCAUAAGAGCCAUCCAGGGAAACAUAGAUUCAAGGCUAGAAAUAUCGAAAAAAAACUGGAAUAUGGAACUCUUUCUCUAUUUGGCUUCUUGACUUCUUUUAUGCGAGGAGUUAUUUCCCUCACUCAUGAUAAAGCAAAUAUAUUACCUAUUUUUAAAGAGAAUUUAGUUAAACUAACAUAUUAUUUGAUUAUAAUUAUUGAUUUUAUAAAGUGUUUUUAGUAUUUUAAACAUUUAAAAUUUUUUAUUUUUCUAGUAUUAAAAACAUUAGAAAUACUUCAUAAAAUUAUUAAUAAACAUACUUUAAAAAUAUGUUUCUCAGUAUUCUUUAAAAAAUAUUUUUAAUGAAAGUGUUUUAUCUAGAAGUAUUAUGAAAAAAGUCAUGUACUAAUAAUCUAUUUGAUAGGGAUUUUAGGAAGCACUUCUAAUAUUUUUAAUACCUGAAAAAUUUUAUCAUUCAAAUAUUAAAAAUGUUAGAAACAUUUUCUAGAAUAAGUAUUUCUAUAGAAAACACUAUAAAUGAAUUUCCAGCAUUAUAAAUGAUUUUUAGAUUUUUAAAAGUAUUUUCUAAAUUUUACCAUACAUCUAAUUUUUAUUUUUUAAAAAACACUUCUUAAACUAAAAACUCUUUCUAAAAUUACUACCAAACAAACUCUCAUUAUCAUCAUCUAUUAAAUCUAUCUAUCUAUCUAUAUUGAAAUCUAACCUUUGAUAUCUCAUAUUUAAUAUAUCUUAUGACAUAAAAAGGAAUGACCUUUUAUUUAUGUUACCUCACUUCUUAAAUAAAUAAAUAGAUGUAGAGGCAUUUUAAUAGGUAUGGAUGACAUAUAAAUUAUAAUAAGCUAUAAGAAAAUAGCAUCAAUGUACCUGAAGGUCAAGAGGGCCAAGGAAUGGCACAUAGUCUGCAAGAUUAAAAGUUCCUGCCAAUCUAGUGGCCUCUCGAAUUAGUGUUUUCAAGUCAAAAAUCCGGUCCUUGUUAUGUCCAAAAACCAUUCGAUACGCCAUAUCUUCGACGACCCCAGCAACCUUUGCGCUGAUAUCCACCACCUCUCCAGCACUCGCCAUUUCCUUAACUGACUUCACUAACAACCCCACCUCCGCCUUCCUCACUGAGGCAAAGGAAUUGAUUUUUGCACUGCUAAAAAGAUGCAAUGCACACAAUUUUCUCACAUGCCGCCAGUACGGACCAUACUCCGUAAAUGCAAUGCCCUUAGCCCCGUAGCUCAGGUAUUCAUAGGCCUGGAGUUUUGGACGGCUAGCAAACACAACAUCAUGGGUUUUCAUGACUAGCUUGGCGGCUUCAGGCGACGACACUACGAUAGUUGGAACACACCCCAGUCGCAUAAACAUGAUGGGCCCAUACUUCUUGGCCAAGCGGCUAAGGUUUCGGUGAGGCAGGCUCCCCAACAUGUAGAGGCUACCAAUAAUUGGUAAACCCCAAGGCCCCGGUGGCAGUUUCCUGUAGCCUGCUCGGAGUUUUAGGUGUGAUAAAGUGACCCACAUGGCUCCAAGGAUGACUAGGAGAAUAGCAACGGUGAAAAGAGCCAUUGGUACUGAUAAUGGGAAAGUAGAGUUUGAGAUA